UUCUCUACACGAUAAUCCAAACAACCAUUUCUCUUCUCUUGCCCAAGUUGUUCUUGGAACCCUAAUUUUUUUUUAUUUUUUUCUAACGAAAGUCUGCUUUCUUGAUUCAAACAUGUCACAUUUCACACGCUGCUGUUUCUCUUCUUUUCCUUCAGACAUAAACAUACUUCUUUUCCGGCAAAGGAUGCGAUCGGUGGCCGUGAUAUCCGCCACUGCCACUGCAAAAGACAACGCAUCAGUGUUCUGAAGCUGUCCGGUUGACACUAUGUUUUUCAUUUUCUCUACGAGCAAGUAAGCAGUUUCUAGUGCUAAUUCUUGGGUUUGAUUGGGAGUUAUCUUCUAUGCAGUUCCACAUUCUUCUCUUUCACUGGACCAAUCAGUGCCUUUAAUAAUCCCGCUCCAAAAACAUGUUAGUUUAUAUCUAAUCUGGAAGGCUUGCAAGUUGCAUUGACAGAAAAAGAACAUGCACGUAUCGAAUGUUUGUUACAUAUAAGUUAUUAUUCGAUUGCAUCUUAUUUAGAAGCAUACUAUGCGUACUUGUAUCAUAAAUCUGCUGCUGUUAUUGCCUGUAUCUUAAAAUUUCGUUUUUAUUCAUAUUUGAAUAGAUCAUCUGUUUAACCUU
This is a long non-coding RNA of Vicia villosa (hairy vetch), 622 nucleotides long. RefSeq lists it as uncharacterized. The transcript has 2 exons. Lineage: Eukaryota; Viridiplantae; Streptophyta; Magnoliopsida; Fabales; Fabaceae. The record is from RefSeq and is a predicted model, not a curated record.